AACGAACGCUGGCGGCAUGCCUAACACAUGCAAGUCGAACGACACCUUUGUGUCUGCUUGCGCUCGCGUGCGUAACGCGUGGGAAUCUUCCCUUGUGUUCGGAAUAAUAGUUUUAAGUUGCUGCUAAUACCGGAUGAUUUCCUCUGAUCAAAUAUUUAUCGCCCAGGGAUGAGCCCGCGUACGUUUAGCUAGUUGGUGUGGUAAUGGCCGACCUAGGCUACGAUCAUUAGCUGGUCUGAGAGGAUGAUCAGCAACACUGGAACUGAGACACGGCCCAGAAUCCUACGGGAGGGAGCAGAAGGGAAUAUUGGACAAUGGGCGCAAGUCUAAUACAGCAAUGCCGGGUAAGUGAUGUAGGCCUUAGGGUAGUAAAGCUCUUUUAACAGGGAUGAUAAUGACAGUACCUGGAGAAUAAGCUCCGGCUAACUCCGUG
This 433-nucleotide ribosomal RNA is filed under the name uncultured bacterium. RNAcentral describes it as "partial 16S ribosomal RNA". It matches the Rfam family "Bacterial small subunit ribosomal RNA", at positions 29 to 507 of the family's 1533-position model. The record is from RNAcentral.